UUGGAGGGCAAGUCUGGUGCCAGCAGCCGCGGUAAUUCCAGCUCCAAUAGCGUAUAUUAAAGUUGUUGAGGUUAAAAAGCUCGUAGUUGAACCUUGGGCCUAGCCGGCCGGUCCGCCUCGCCGCGUGCACUGGCUCGGCUGGGCCUUUCCUUCUGGAGAACCGCAUGCCCUUCACUGGGUGUGUCGGGGAACCAGGACUUUUACUCUGAACAAAUUAGAUCGCUUAAAGAAGGCCUAUGCUCGAAUACAUUAGCAUGGAAUAAUAGAAUAGG
RNAcentral lists this ribosomal RNA (272 nucleotides) under uncultured Ascomycota. RNAcentral describes it as "partial 18S ribosomal RNA". It matches the Rfam family "Eukaryotic small subunit ribosomal RNA", at positions 548 to 826 of the family's 1831-position model. Lineage: Eukaryota; Fungi; Ascomycota. The record is from RNAcentral.